This is a long non-coding RNA of Portunus trituberculatus (swimming crab), 405 nucleotides long. RefSeq lists it as uncharacterized. The transcript has 3 exons. NCBI's taxonomy places the organism in Eukaryota, Metazoa, Arthropoda, Malacostraca, Decapoda, Portunidae. The record is from RefSeq and is a predicted model, not a curated record.
AGACUGAGAUGACGGAGAGGCUGAGGGAGGAGAAGGAGGAGGCCGUGAAGGAGGAGAGAGAGAGUGUGAGAGAAGACUGGAGGAAGGAUGUGCAGGAGAGGGAAGAGGAGGAGAGAAGAAGAAGAGAAGGAUUUUUAGCCACAGCAAGAAGACAGUGGGAGGAGGAAAAGGAGAAGGACUUGCAGAGGAAAAUUGCUCUUGUGGUGGAGGAAAGCCGCAGGGAAGUGGAGGAGGAACGGAAGAGACACAGACUGGAGAUAGACAGUAUAAGAUCAAGAUUUAGGAUAAUGACUAACACCACCACCACCACCACCGCCACCUCCCCCUCCCCCUCCUCCCUCCCCUUCUCCUCCAGCCCAAGCGAGGAGCAGAUCCCCUCCUCCCCACCCCCCUCUCUCCAGAAGU